This 253-nucleotide ribosomal RNA is filed under the name uncultured bacterium. Its description in RNAcentral is "partial 16S ribosomal RNA". It matches the Rfam family "Bacterial small subunit ribosomal RNA", at positions 524 to 776 of the family's 1533-position model. The record is from RNAcentral.
UACGGGGGGUGCAAGCGUUAAUCGGAAUUACUGGGCGUAAAGGGCGCGUAGGCGGCCUCUUAAGUCAGAUGUGAAAUCCCUGGGCUCAACCUGGGAAUGGCAUUUGAUACUGUGAGGCUAGAAUGUGGUAGAGGAUAGCGGAAUUUCUGGUGUAGCGGUGAAAUGCGUAGAUAUCAGAAGGAACAUCAAUGGCGAAGGCAGCUAUCUGGGCCAACAUUGACGCUGAGGCGCGAAAGCGUGGGGAGCAAACAGG